AGGAAGUUUUCCGAAUGGCACUCUGCGUGGGAAGGAGCUUGUGCACGUGCACGCUGCCACCAUCUGCCCUCAGCGCUGAUUCAGGAGGCGCUUCUCAACUAUAGCCCACAGUGUGACAACUGAACGUGUCCCCUCACGUUUCCAAAUACGGGGGGUGCAGGAGGCACUGCUCACUGUUGCACCCCCUGACCCACGCUGCCAGUCCUGCCCUCACUGCUGGGUGCUCACUGGGACCCUGGAAAGGUCUAGCUGAGCCUUUUAGGGCAUGAGGAUGUUGGGAGAAUAGAGGUGGCUCCUCUGAGAAGCCUGAGAAGUGAUCAGGCCAACCUUAGAAUCUCUGACUACUAGAGGCUUGACUUGCAGUGAAACCCGUCCUAAUUGAUGAAGAUCCUGUAUCGAGUUAGAGAAAUGGAAGAAACGACGCGGGGGUCUGGUUUGCCAGCCAACAGCUGUGGCUUAAAUCUGAGUCCUUUGGAAAGAAAGGAAGGCAUUCCUUUUAUUUCUAAUAUGGCUAAGGUGGAAGUUCUUCAUCUCUGUGUGCAUGCAGCUUAGUUCCUGCUCCUUCAGCCAAGCUAACGCGGAAGCCCUAGAGCAUCUGGACCAAGCAAGGAAGCCGGCAGGAGCCUCUGCACUGCCUAUGAAUUUGACCAACGGGACUUGGGCCUGGAAAAGAGCAUCCCGAACAGUGGAGAGGAAGAGGGAGUGAGGCCCUGUGGACACAGCAGAGGAAUCCACAAUGGAUUUGCAGCAGGCUGGUGGAGGCAGAGCAGAGAAGGGCGGGAGAGGGCCAGCGAAGGCCUGGGAAGGUGGACCCACAAACUCGUCUCCUAAUGAAGCUAACCAGCAAUGCGAGGGCACACAGGGAGACCCCCUAGAGGCUGCCCCAGGCCAGGAGUCACCUGUGAACUGAGGUGGCCAAGGCAGGUUCUGUGGCAGAGGGUGAAUGCCUGCAGAUGAGAACCAGCCGCGGUGCCCAGAAAGGAACAGUGUGCGGGCCUGACGGGAGCCCCCAUCAAUACAACCAGCUCCUGCUCAGAACUCUCUUCAGGCAGACAAAUAGAAGAUAUGUUUCUACUUCCCCAGGCCUCAGCACCAUGACUAUUCUAGUCCCAGUGGAUACCCUGCUUCAGGUUUUAUGCAGCUGAGUUGAAAAAGAAUAACAGAAUAGGAGGAAAACAAGGGGAAGAAGGUAGGUGGGACGCCCCAAAUCAUCUUGAGUGCACUCCAUAAAAGAAAGAGGCAUUAAAGCAGCCCCCUCUCCUAUCUCAAGCCAUCCUUCAACUUAUAGGGACUUUGCACAUAGUUGCUGCAGGUUGGCCUGCCUCUGUCAGAGGUGUUUAAACCAGAUUGACUCUCUCUUGUAUAGGGGCUGGGUAAAAUGAGGCUGAGACCUACUGGGCUGCAUUCUCAGGAGAUUAGGCAUUCUAAGUCACAGGAUGAGAUAGGAGGUCGGCACAAGAUACAGAUCACAAAGACCUUGCUGAUAAAACAGGUUGCAGUAAAGAAGCCGGCCAAAACCCACCAAAACCAAGAUGGUGACGAGAGUGACUCUGGUCGUCCUCACUGCUACACUCCCAUCAGCGCCAUGACAGUUUACAGAUGCCAUAGCAACGUCUGGAAGUUACCUGUACGGUCUAUAAAGGGGAGGCAUGAAUAAUCCACCCCUUGUUUAGCAUAUCAUCAAGAAAUAACCAUAAAAAUGGGCAACCAGGAGCCCUUGGGGCUCCUCUGCCUAUGGAGUGGCCAUUCUUUUAUUCCUUUACUUUCUCAAUAAACUUGCUUUCACUUU
This 1789-nucleotide long non-coding RNA is filed under the name Homo sapiens (human). Its description in RNAcentral is "non-protein coding lnc-ERCC6L2-2:4". Lineage: Eukaryota; Metazoa; Chordata; Mammalia; Primates; Hominidae. The record is from RNAcentral.